GCAGCAGUAGGGAAUCUUCCACAAUGGGCGCAAGCCUGAUGGAGCAACACCGCGUGAGUGAAGAAGGGUUUCGGCUCGUAAAGCUCUGUUGUUGGAGAAGAACGUGCGUGAGAGUAACUGUUCACGCAGUGACGGUAUCCAACCAGAAAGUCACGGCUAACUACGUGCCAGCAGCCGCGGUAAUACGUAGGUGGCAAGCGUUAUCCGGAUUUAUUGGGCGUAAAGCGAGCGCAGGCGGUUGCUUAGGUCUGAUGUGAAAGCCUUCGGCUUAACCGAAGAAGUGCAUCGGAAACCGGGCAACUUGAGUGCAGAAGAGGACAGUGGAACUCCAUGUGUAGCGGUGGAAUGCGUAGAUAUAUGGAAGAACACCAGUGGCGAAGGCGGCUGUCUGGUCUGCAACUGACGCUGAGGCUCGAAAGCAUGGGUAGCGAACAGGAUUAGAUACCCUGGUAGUCCAUGCCGUAAACGAUGAGUGCUAGGUGUUGGAGGGUUUCCGCCCUUCA
Molecule: ribosomal RNA, 503 nt
Filed under: uncultured bacterium
Lineage: Bacteria
Description: bacterial SSU rRNA
Rfam family: Bacterial small subunit ribosomal RNA
Source: RNAcentral